Molecule: long non-coding RNA, 4120 nt
Filed under: Canis lupus familiaris (dog)
Lineage: Eukaryota; Metazoa; Chordata; Mammalia; Carnivora; Canidae
Description: lncRNA (ENSCAFG00845027402.1)
Source: RNAcentral
UAGCCUGCUGAGGUCUGCUUGGACCCAGCCUCUGCCGUCUGGCCUACAGACCAGUCUGCCCAGUUUUGUAACAUCUGCACACUUCCUGUACAUCUGCAGAGGAGCGGUCACAAACUUCAUUAGGGGAGAGCAGACCUGGCUUCCCUGGGCUCUGUUGCCCCUCCCGUGUAGCCUUGGCCAGGUACCCAGCUCUGGGCCUCUUCUACAACAGUGACACUGGGGUGGUCUCGCAGGAUCUGAUGACCAGUUGGUUUCCAACCAAUGUGAUAAAUGCCAGGGGCUGUAUGCUCAGGAAAUGGGAGUGUCCAUUAGGAACAGGAAUGCUGAUAGCCCCAAAGCCAGGGCACGUGCCUGGAAGGCUGCCCCUCGACGCUGGCAGCGCAUCCUCCAGCCAGUGCCCUAGGGAGUCAGCGACAGCAUGUUUGCCAGCCCCCCGAGCCUCCGGGCCUCUCCUCUGCCGAGCCAGUCGGUGCCCUUCCCCACCCCCAUGUGCUGGGAGCAGUGUCAGAGGAGGGGGUGAGGCUCUCUGUGAGCCCCUACUCCCAAAGAGCCCCUCCCCCGAGGGGAGAGCCACGCUGCCCACGUCCUGACCUUUAUCCUCCAUUCCUGUUGUCAGAGUUCGAUUUCCCAGAAACAAAGAAAACGUUGAGUCUUACCCUCGUGCAUUCGCUAAGGUCACCUUAGGCCCAACAUUGACCACAUCUCUGCUACACCCUGUGGUAGACAGGCCUCCGUCCCUUCAGAAGCCGCCAGGAGGCUGCUGGGACACUCCCCACACUGGGUUCUCCGAGCUGGCUGGAGAGCACCAUGCUGACGGGGCUCAGGGCUCUACGGCCUCCCUCCCCGUCAAGGCCGGCGUUCAGCUUCCCUUGGGCCCAUGCUUGGUGAACACCUCUUCUCCUCCAGGGUGGCCGUUGGGUCCUGCCCGGCCCCCAGCCCGCACUGCGCUCAAGGAUGUGGAUCCCUGAGGCUCCAGCUCUGCCAAACCUUCCUUGCAUUUAGAAUGCUCUGGAAAUAACUCCACAUUCCCACCUAGGGAGGGUAGAGGCUCCAAAAGUAAGUAUGCUCAGACCUCCAAAACUUCUCGAAAGGCAAAGAUAAUUGGAAAGCAAAUCCAUUACCCCUCCACCGGCUGCUUUGCCCUCCCCCAUCUGCUCUAUUUCCAUCCCUCACGCGCCCCCCAAGGUCGGUGUGACUUUCUAGAACUCCCCUGGAUUGUAUUUAUGUCCUUCAACAAACAAAUUGAAAACCAGUCAGGAAGGAAUUCAAAUAGCAAUGUGCUGAAGAUACACAUCUUUCUUUCCCAGGGAAUAUAAUUUAUCUCUAACUCCCUCCUCGAACGUGGGUUUCACACAUUGUGAAGUCCUGUCUUCAAGUGAUUUUCACCCUCAUCCUUCACCAAAAGCUACAUAAGGGCCUUUGGCAUCCAGGCUCGGAUUUUUCACUUUGGACCAUUAUCGACGUGUUGCUUUCUUGAAUUCCCAAGUGGCUUUCCUCUGGAAGGCCUGUGGUCAGUGAGUCUUCGGCGUGGGCCCCGCCACCCCGGCCAGGGCCCCCGGGGUGUGGUGCUCACAGUGGGCAGGGGGCUGGCGGUGGGGUCGCCCCCACUCUGCUCCGUGCCCUGCACCCUGACGGCUCCUUCGCGGUUCAAGCAUCUAAAUCAGGUGGCCUUUCAGUCAACACGUUGAAUUGCUUCCAAUUUCGCAGAAGAGAGAAGGGGGCGUGGGUUGGUCCCUGGAGUAGACGGGAGUGGUGUCUGGCUUUUCUCUCCACUGCUGCCGGGAAAGCACCCCUGGGACCCAGAAUGGCCAGGACCCUGGAGAGGAGAGAACAGCAGGGCGGCUCUGGGGGUCCACACCCCCCACACUGGGCCCCUCCCCCUUCCCCUCCAGGAAGAAAGGACACAGAACAGGUUAGAAUUCGUAUUUCAAACACACGCAUGUUCUUCCCCUUAGAGGAGAAAGGCUGUCCUUACAUAGAUUUUUUUAAACAAUAUUAAUGGAUUCCCUAUUGAAUGUUGGAUGCCUACUGCUUUUUGAACCUAGAUUUGGCACUUCUUUCCAGUUCCAGUUGUUCCGUGUGGGCCAGAGGGGAAAUUAGAGGACAUUCCACCAGCACAGGAUGCUAUAAGACCAGAAAGUCUGGUUUUUAGCCUGUGAUUUUUAAAACGCCCAAGUUCCAGAAGUAGUUGAGUUUCACAAGCGUGGGAAACACGCUCCCGAAGCAAGGAUUCAGGACGGCAGAUUUGAAAACCCCUCAUUUCCGCACUUCACUUGCGGGGGGGGGGGCGGCAGGUGCUGAUUUUGCUGUCAAACGACAGCAUUUGGUUCUGGGGCUUGCACCUGGUUGGUAAAAAUGCUUUUGUCCGAGGGCCCCCAUCCCAUCCAAAGGGCCUGCGGUGCCAGGAGGCGGGCAGGGGGAGGCAGGUGUGCCCAGCGGCGCCCCGCCGUGAGCUGCCCCUGCCAAGCAACAGACAAGCUCGGGGGUUUAGCAGGUGUCACCCUGUGCCGGGCACUGCAGGGUACGUGCAGGGCAAGCCGCCUUCGUCGGGGGGGGGGGGGGUGCAUGGUGCGAGAGGUCAGCCCAGGGCUUGUGUUCUACUCUGGCCUGGUGUGUGGCUUCUGUAGAGAACGCCCCCGAGGGCCCGGGGGGUGCCAUAUGAUAGAGACUCGCCUGCCAAAGUGAGGGCUGCCUAGGGUUCACUGUCAGCAGGAACUCCGUGUCCUUCACCUUGAGACGCAGGUGAAAGAAAAGAACCACAUAAGACGUAAGAGCUUCGAGGAAUCUUCCAAGCGGAACGCUCAGGUGUCGGGAGCAGCUGCCCCUAAAUCAGAGUGUGCCCUGAUCCCCCGGACCAGAUUGUGGCCACGGUGCCCGGGAAGUCAGCAUCUGGGCCGGCCCAAACUCCAGUAACGAGGCGGGUCACCAACCCCCAGGAGGUCACGUAGUCGUGCCUGAUGCCCCGUGUAAGGUGGUGCGUGUCCCGGCUUGAGGAAGGACGUCCUGGGGCUGUCCGCCCCUGGCCGGGCACCCGGGGGUAGAAAUCCCGAGUGACAGGCCUUUUGCCAGAGGCCGGGGGGGCGCCCAGCUGGUGACCACUGCUCCCAGCCCUGCGGCCGCCAUCCCGCCACAGAAGACAGAGGGGCCCAAGGGCGCCGGAGCUGGAGCCAGGGCGGGAGCUCGCCUGCUGACCCUGCGGGAGCCCGGGGCACCCUCCGGCCCCAGCCCCGCCCCCGGGUGCACAGCAGGGGGCCACCGGGCUGCUCAGGCGCCCAGGCAGCGGGAUGCGUAAAAGGGCUUUGCGGCUCGUCACGCGGCUCCAGGUUGGAAAACCUGCCUUCCUUAAACCUCAGGAGCACCCCCGUUUCCCUCCUCCCAGCUGGGCUUCUGUGCUGAGCACGUGCGCCUCUUGAGGCUGCCACCCCUGCCCUGCUCUGAGCAGCCACGUGCUGGGGACGGUGCCCUGCGCCCUUGACCGAGGCCGCUCCACGGGGCCCGGAGGGAGCGGCCUCCCCAGGCCCAGGCCCGGCCGUCGGGUGUCGGGAGUGCUUCCUGCCCCACGUGGCCCCGACUCUCCUGCCCGUGACCCUGAAUCGGGGGUGGGGGGUGCUCGUGUGGCAGCUGGUGUGCUUCCCAGCGGGAGCCCGAGCGGGUCCAAGGUGACGAGGGAGGCAUUUCUGGGAGGGAAACAGGGGACACCGAGUCUCUGCCCCCCGCAGCACAUUUUUCUGUUUCUGUAAAUAGUGAUGUAUAGAAGAUGGAAGAGCGGCCUGGGGUUUAUCUAGAGGUGGGUUUGGUUUCUUUGGGGUUUUGGUUUUUUUUUUUUUCUUUUUUUUUUUCCUUCGGUUGUUUUUAUAUUACCUCAUUCAGCAAGUUUGUUUCACAAUGACUCAAUGAUGCUUUAUUUAUAUUGUUUGUACUGUAAUUAAAACCAUUGACAGACAUUUCACUUUGCUUGUUAUUUCAUAUGAUUUUGUUUUGAUUAAAUAUGCCAGUUUGUAUUUUCCUGCAUUGGGAUUUUUUUGUGUCCGCUGUACAGUAUUCUAAGGGGGGAGAAAAAGAGAAAAAGAGAAAUGUGUAAAGUAAUGGGGAGAGGUGGCUAUAGUGUAGAGACCUCUUU